Molecule: ribosomal RNA, 465 nt
Filed under: Vreelandella stevensii
Lineage: Bacteria; Pseudomonadati; Pseudomonadota; Gammaproteobacteria; Oceanospirillales; Halomonadaceae
Description: partial 16S ribosomal RNA
Rfam family: Bacterial small subunit ribosomal RNA
Source: RNAcentral
CCUACGGGAGGCUGCAGUGGGGAAUAUUGGACAAUGGGCGAAAGCCUGAUCCAGCCAUGUCGCGUGUGUGAAGAAGGCCUUCGGGUUGUAAAGCACUUUCAGUGGGGAAGAAAGCCUUGGGGCUAAUACCCUCGAGGAAGGACAUCACCCACAGAAGAAGCACCGGCUAACUCCGUGCCAGCAGCCGCGGUAAUACGGAGGGUGCGAGCGUUAAUCGGAAUUACUGGGCGUAAAGCGCGCGUAGGCGGUCUGAUAAGCCGGUUGUGAAAGCCCCGGGCUCAACCUGGGAACGGCAUCCGGAACUGUCAGGCUAGAGUGCAGGAGAGGAAGGUAGAAUUCCCGGUGUAGCGGUGAAAUGCGUAGAGAUCGGGAGGAAUACCAGUGGCGAAGGCGGCCUUCUGGACUGACACUGACGCUGAGGUGCGAAAGCGUGGGUAGCAAACAGGAUUAGAUACCCGAGUAGUC